Molecule: non-coding RNA, 350 nt
Organism: Tetranychus urticae (two-spotted spider mite)
Lineage: Eukaryota; Metazoa; Arthropoda; Arachnida; Trombidiformes; Tetranychidae
Source: RefSeq, a predicted model, not a curated record
GUACAUGAAAAAGGGAUCACCCAUUGGACUUUAGAGUAAUUAGAAAUUGAACUUACCAUAUCGAGAUCACUGAUUUCACUGAUGCUUCGUAUUAGUAUGUUGACAUUAACAUAACAAGGUCCAUCUUGUCCAAAAAUCGAGAUGAUAAGAUAAAAAAGAAUCACAUCUUCAAUUUGAUUGUAAUAAACAGAUGAUGGAAAUGGGUUUUCUCAAAUUAGACAUCAUAAUCGCCUGAAAAUAACAGCCAUUAUCAACAUGCUCAUCCUGUAAUAAUGCAAAUUUGAUUGAUUCAUUCCAUUAUCAUCAACUGUAAUGAUCAAUUCUCAAUACACUUUCAUUAUCUUGUUAAA